UACGAACUGCGCGAACGUUAUUCGGAAUCACUGGGCUUACAGGGUGCGUAGGCGGCCGAUCAGGUCCGAUGUGAAAUCCCCCAGCUCAACUGGGGAAUGGCAUUGGAAACCGACCGGCUCGAGUGAGCUAGAGAUGCACGGAACUUCCGGUGGAGCGGUGAAAUGUGUUGAGAUCGGAAGGAACACCAGAGGCGAAGGCGGUGCAUUGGGGCUUGUCUGACGCUGAGGCACGAAAGCCAGGGGAGCGAACGGG
This 253-nucleotide ribosomal RNA is filed under the name uncultured bacterium. RNAcentral describes it as "partial 16S ribosomal RNA". It matches the Rfam family "Bacterial small subunit ribosomal RNA", at positions 524 to 776 of the family's 1533-position model. The record is from RNAcentral.